This 414-nucleotide ribosomal RNA is filed under the name uncultured microorganism. RNAcentral's name for it is "bacterial SSU rRNA". It matches the Rfam family "Archaeal small subunit ribosomal RNA", at positions 330 to 745 of the family's 1478-position model. The record is from RNAcentral.
GUGCAGCAGUCGAGAAACUUCACAAUGUGCGAAAGCACGAUGAGGGAAUCCCAAAUGCUUGCGCGUAAGUGUAAGCUGUUUCUCUGUCUAAAACGCAGAGAGAGUAAGGGCUGGGUAAGACGGGUGCCAGCCGCCGCGGUAAUACCUGCAGCUCGAGUGGUGACCGUUAUUAUUGGGCCUAAAACGUCCGUAGCCGGUUUAAUAAAUGCCUGGGUAAAUCGGACCGCUUAACGGGUUCGAAUUCCGGGUAGACUGUUAAACUUGAGACCGGGAGAAGUUAGAGGUACUCCUGGGGUAGAGGUGAAAUUCUGUAAUCCUAGGGGACCACCAGUGGCGAAGGCGUCUAACUAGAACGGGUCUGACGGUGAGGGACGGAGCCCUGGGGCGCAAACGGGAUUAGAUACCCCGUGUAGU